RNAcentral lists this ribosomal RNA (408 nucleotides) under Triticum aestivum (bread wheat). Its description in RNAcentral is "partial small subunit ribosomal RNA". The record is from RNAcentral. Lineage: Eukaryota; Viridiplantae; Streptophyta; Magnoliopsida; Poales; Poaceae.
AUGGCCCCCAAGGCUGCCGAGAAGAAGCCGGUGGAGAGGACCCCCGCGGGCAAGAAGCCCAAGGCGGAGAAGAAGGUGCCGGCGUCCAAGGAGGGUGGCGACAAGAAGGGGAAGAAGAAGGCCAAGAAGAGUGUGGAGACGUACAAGAUCUACAUCUUCAAGGUGCUCAAGCAGGUUCACCCCGACAUCGGCAUCUCCUCCAAGGCCAUGUCCAUCAUGAACUCCUUCAUCAACGACAUCUUCGAGAAGCUCGCUGGCGAGUCCGCCAAGCUCGCGAGGUACAACAAGAAGCCCACCAUCACUUCCCGCGAGAUCCAGACCUCCGUCCGCCUCGUCCUCCCCGGCGAGCUCGCCAAGCACGCCGUCUCCGAGGGCACUAAGGCUGUCACCAAGUUCACCUCGUCCUAG